GACGUAGGGUGCAAGCGUUGUCCGGAUUUAUUGGGCGUAAAGAGCUCGUAGGCGGCUCGUCGCGUCGACUGUGAAAACUCGGGGCUUAACCCUGGGCCUGCAGUCGAUACGGGCGGGCUAGAGUUCGGUAGGGGAGACUGGAAUUCCUGGUGUAGCGGUGAAAUGCGCAGAUAUCAGGAGGAACACCGGUGGCGAAGGCGGGUCUCUGGGCCGAUACUGACGCUGAGGAGCGAAAGCGUGGGGAGCAAACAGG
Molecule: ribosomal RNA, 253 nt
Filed under: uncultured bacterium
Lineage: Bacteria
Description: partial 16S ribosomal RNA
Rfam family: Bacterial small subunit ribosomal RNA
Source: RNAcentral